Molecule: ribosomal RNA, 406 nt
Filed under: uncultured bacterium
Lineage: Bacteria
Description: partial 16S ribosomal RNA
Rfam family: Bacterial small subunit ribosomal RNA
Source: RNAcentral
AUUGAACGCUGGCGGCAGGCCUAACACAUGCAAGUCGAGCGAGCGGCGGACGGGUGAGUAAUGUCUGGGAAACUGCCUGAUGGAGGGGGAUAACUACUGGAAACGGUAGCUAAUACCGCAUACCAUCAGAUGUGCCCAGAUGGGAGUGGCUAGUAGGUGGGGUAACGGCUCACCUAGGCGACGAUCCCUAGCUGGUCUGCGAGGAUGACCAGCCAGCCUGGAACGGAGACACGGUCCAGACUCCUCCGGAGGGCAGCAGAUGUGAAUAUUGCACCAUGGGCGCAAGCCUGAGGCCGCCAUGCCGCGUGUGUGAAGAAGGCCUUCGGGUUGUAAAGCACUUUCAGCGGGGAGGCGUUACCCGCAGAAGAAGCACCGGCUAACUCCGUGCCAGCCGCCGCGGUAAUUC